RNAcentral lists this ribosomal RNA (939 nucleotides) under Lepista saeva. Its description in RNAcentral is "partial 25S large subunit ribosomal RNA". It matches the Rfam family "Eukaryotic large subunit ribosomal RNA", at positions 86 to 1006 of the family's 3401-position model. The record is from RNAcentral. Lineage: Eukaryota; Fungi; Basidiomycota; Agaricomycetes; Agaricales; Clitocybaceae.
ACUGCGAGUGAAGCGGGAAAAGCUCAAAUUUAAAAUCUGGCGGUCUUUGGCUGUCCGAGUUGUAAUCUAGAGAAGUGCUAUCCGCGCUGGACCGUGUACAAGUCUCCUGGAACGGAGCGUCAUAGAGGGUGAGAAUCCCGUCUUUGACACGGACUACCAGGGCUUUGUGAUGUGCUCUCAAAGAGUCGAGUUGUUUGGGAAUGCAGCUCUAAAUGGGUGGUAAAUUCCAUCUAAAGCUAAAUAUUGGCGAGAGACCGAUAGCGAACAAGUACCGUGAGGGAAAGAUGAAAAGAACUUUGGAAAGAGAGUUAAACAGUACGUGAAAUUGUUGAAAGGGAAACGCUUGAAGUCAGUCGCGUUGGCUGGGGAUCAACCUUGCUCUUUUGCUUGGUGUACUUUCCAGUUGACGGGUCAGCAUCAAUUUUGACCAGUGGACAAAGGUCAGGGGAAUGUGGCAUCUUCGGAUGUGUUAUAGCCCUUGGUUGCAUACAUUGGUUGGGAUUGAGGAACUCAGCACGCCGCAAGGCCGGGUCUUUGACCACGUACGUGCUUAGGAUGCUGGCAUAAUGGCUUUAAUCGACCCGUCUUGAAACACGGACCAAGGAGUCUAACAUGCCCGCGAGUGUUUGGGUGGAAAACCCGGACGCGUAAUGAAAGUGAAAGUUGAGAUCCCUGUCGUGGGGAGCAUCGACGCCCGGACCAGACCUUUUUGUGACGGUCUCUGCGGUAGAGCGUGUAUGUUGGGACCCGAAAGAUGGUGAACUAUGCCUGAAUAGCGGUGAAGCCAGAGGAAACUCUGUUGGAGGCUCGUAGCGAUUCUGACGUGAAAAUCGAAUCGCCUAAAUUGGGUUUAGGGGCGAAGAACUAUCGAACCAUCAAUUAGCCUGGUUCCUGCCGAAAUUUCCCUCACUUUACCAAAAACUCAAUUCAGAUUUAUGU